AUUGAACGCUGGCGGAAUGCUUUACACAUGCAAGUCGAACGGCAGCACGGGGCAACCUGGUGGCGAGUGGCGAACGGGUGAGUAGUACAUCGGAACGUGCCCAAUCGUGGGGGAUAACGUAGCGAAAGUUACGCUAAUACCGCAUACGAUCUACGGAUGAAAGCGGGGGAUCGCAAGACCUCGCGCGAAUGGAGCGGCCGAUGUCAGAUUAGGUAGUUGGUGGGGUAAAGGCUCACCAAGCCGACGAUCUGUAGCUGGUCUGAGAGGACGACCAGCCACACUGGGACUGAGACACGGCCCAGACUCCUACGGGAGGCAGCAGUGGGGAAUUUUGGACAAUGGGCGCAAGCCUGAUCCAGCCAUUCCGCGUGCAGGAUGAAGGCCUUCGGGUUGUAACUGCUUUGU
This 405-nucleotide ribosomal RNA is filed under the name uncultured bacterium. RNAcentral's name for it is "bacterial SSU rRNA". It matches the Rfam family "Bacterial small subunit ribosomal RNA", at positions 30 to 438 of the family's 1533-position model. The record is from RNAcentral.